AUACGUAGGUGGCAAGCGUUGUCCGGAAUUAUUGGGCGUAAAGCGCGCGCAGGUGGUUCCUUAAGUCUGAUGUGAAAGCCCCCGGCUCAACCGGGGAGGGUCAUUGGAAACUGGGGAACUUGAGUGCAGAAGAGGAUAGUGGAAUUCCAAGUGUAGCGGUGAAAUGCGUAGAGAUUUGGAGGAACACCAGUGGCGAAGGCGACUGUCUGGGCUGUAACGGACACUGAGGCGCGAAAGCGUGGGGAGCAAACAGGAUUAGAUCCCCUGGUAGUCCACGCCGUAAACGAUGAGUGCUAAGUGUUGGGGGGUUUCCGCCCCUCAGUGCUGCAGCUAACGCAUUAAGCACUCCGCCUGGGGAGUACGGUCGCAAGACUGAAACUUAAAGGAAUUGACGGGG
RNAcentral lists this ribosomal RNA (397 nucleotides) under uncultured bacterium. Its description in RNAcentral is "partial 16S ribosomal RNA". It matches the Rfam family "Bacterial small subunit ribosomal RNA", at positions 523 to 918 of the family's 1533-position model. The record is from RNAcentral.